GCUGCCCUUUACUAGAACAGGAUGAAUUAUAUACAGAUCAUUGCAGGAAUGUCAAUUUAAAAAUUGCUGUGAUUUUAGAACAUGUAAGCUGAAAGGCUCAGCAGAAUGUGGUUCAGGACCAUGUUGCAGAUCAAACUGUGAGAUAUGUGAUAAUUUUGGUAAUUGCCAAUGCUUUCCAGACCACAGGCCCCCAGACUGUGAAUUCCGUCUUAGUUCACCAGGGGGCAGUAUUGACGAUGGAAAUGUUCAGAAAUCAGACUUACGACCUGGGAAGACUUUUGUCAGGCUGUUUGCACAACUGAGGAAGACACUGAGAAGACAUGCAGUCCACAGUGCAGUAUCUGCUAGAGCUGAGGAAGACACUGAGCAGAUAUUGGUGGCUAUGGUGCAUUAUUGGCCUACAAACAAAUCUAUAAUGGAAGAGAAGAAGAGAAAAUAAAAUUUUUGGGUAUAAUAUACAACUAAACAACUGGAUUAUUUUGAGUUUCUGCAUUUUUCUGCCAUUUUUCAUAAUUUUCAUCAUUGUGGUCAUUAAGAUAAUGAAAAUGAGAAACUUAUGCAAUGCAGAGAACACAAAGUAUGAUGGGAAUGCAUCCACUGCACCAGAAAGCUACCACGUGGAAUAUGAAGACUGCCAAGGUCGCCAGCAAAUGGCCUAAAGAAGAAAAUGAGCUUUAUAACCCUAAAGUCCCGCCCCAAAUACAGUUUAUAAAAUAAAGCUGUGAGUCCUCGGAGCAAACUGAUGGGUCAGCCAGGACCGCGGGCUGGGUGGGGGGCGGGAGGAACCAGGCUCAGGACCAGGAACCGCA
RNAcentral lists this long non-coding RNA (809 nucleotides) under Heterocephalus glaber (naked mole-rat). RNAcentral's name for it is "lncRNA (ENSHGLG00000031574.2)". Lineage: Eukaryota; Metazoa; Chordata; Mammalia; Rodentia; Bathyergidae. The record is from RNAcentral.